ACGCUCGACACCUACGAGAGGCAGCAGUGGGGAAUAUUGCACAAUGGGGGAAACCCUGAUGCAGCGACGCCGCGUGGAGGAAGAAGGUCUUCGGAUUGUAAACUCCUGUUGUUGGGGAAAAAGNGGAUGGUACCCAACAAGGAAGUGACGGCUAACUACGUGCCAGCAGCCGCGGUAAUCUGAGGCGGGCGUGGACGAAGGC
RNAcentral lists this ribosomal RNA (202 nucleotides) under uncultured bacterium. RNAcentral's name for it is "partial 16S ribosomal RNA". It matches the Rfam family "Bacterial small subunit ribosomal RNA", at positions 328 to 545 of the family's 1533-position model. The record is from RNAcentral.